ACUGGAUGUGUUACAUCGCUUGUAAUGAUUGGAAAAUCCGUUUGUACUUCGUGUCAGAAACAGCGCGAGCACUUGUAGUACAUCUGUACAUCAGAAAUAUACCGGGGCAUCACAUUACUGUCCGCAUCCACUGUAGAUAAUAUAUAUAAUGGGUUCUAUAUUGUUUUUUAUCGAGUCGCGCCUCGCCGCGCCACUCGCGUACGAGGAAGACACGGAAGCAGCGGGCAGCGUCGCGGGUUUUCCCGGGGAUGAACCUGCAAGAGUGGGAGAGCUCCGGAGAACAUCUGCGCUGUGUGUUGAUGCACCUUACGAGAGAAAAAGACCAGCAAGCAAGGCAACUGCAAUGAAGCAUCAAGAAAGACAUGGACAUGCCAGCCACCCUGAGACUGAUAAUUCAUGAGAAGACAUUUCUGUCAAAGUGGAUGGUGAGCAAAGAUGGUGGCCACGUUUUGGAGCAGCACCUGGGUUUUGCAGAUGGCUAUGUAUUCUUUGGCUGCUUUUCUUUAUGUUUCUGUUGCCUAAAUAUUCUUUGUGAGGAUAAAUCACAACAAAAUGCACUGCAAACCGUCCUAAG
Onychostoma macrolepis is the source of this 574-nucleotide long non-coding RNA. RefSeq lists it as uncharacterized. Lineage: Eukaryota; Metazoa; Chordata; Actinopteri; Cypriniformes; Cyprinidae. The transcript has 3 exons. The record is from RefSeq and is a predicted model, not a curated record.